Molecule: long non-coding RNA, 500 nt
Organism: Thunnus maccoyii (southern bluefin tuna)
Lineage: Eukaryota; Metazoa; Chordata; Actinopteri; Scombriformes; Scombridae
Exons: 3
Source: RefSeq, a predicted model, not a curated record
CUUUACCGACGGUUACAGAAAGGUAAACCAGGUGAAAGUUAACAACCUUUGAUUAAAAAUGAGCCAAGUAUCAAACAUUUAGAUGCGGGCAUUGUCAUGGCACGACGACAACUGUGAAUGGACACAUCUCUGGAAGAAGAAACGGAACUGUGAAGCUUGAAACACUCUGCUCACCUGCCGUUUGAAACGGAGAGAAGAGAGGACAUGAAGGACGUCUGUCAACAAGCAAACAAAAAGACUGUCAAAACAACAAGUGCAGUGGGACAUUCAUUCAUUCAUUCAUGAAACUUCAUUUCUGUGAAAGACGAGAACAUGGACUUCAAAAACGUGCACCUGUGCUGUCUUGGAGAAGGAAUCCAUGCUCAAAAAUGUGCACAAUCCAGCUCUGCAGUUCGGAAUCUUCCUGGACCUCAGCAUCACUCUUGUAGCAGUGUUGGAGCAGUCCCUGCACAAACCUAUAAGACACAUUGAUAUGGUUUAUAAUAUCACAUUCUUACUUA